UCGUUGAAGGGUUCGGACGUGUUUUUCGAAGCUCUCGACGUCGUACUCAGUAUAAAUUGAACUGGGCUGGCAAAGAACGCUCAGUUGCGACUUUGAAAUUGACCGUUACGGACGUGUUUUUUAUGCGCUCUUUUUUUUACAUUGACUUAAUCUUAGUUCAAUGAAAGACUUUGACAAAGACGGACGUACUUUCGUGAGCUCUGACUAUUGAUGAAAAGUUUUGAGUUUAACUGACUUGUACUUUGAGAGUUAAAUUGACUUCGCGUUAUAGAAUAGCGACUUGGUACUCGGGUUAUGGAAUUACUGGUGGACUGCAGUGUUAGGGUAUUGUCAUGAGAUGACGGCUUGACUUUUACUUGCGUUGUGAAAUGAAAUCAUGCUCUCAUGCGAUGAUAACUUUUGAACGUUUAGUACUGACUGACAACGAAUUUUUGUGAGCGACUUGACUUCACUUUAAGUUUUGACAUCGGACUGAUCGGACGUGUUUUUUUAAGCCCUGACUGUUGUGAAUAAUUAAAUUUAUGUUGUGGUGUCAAGCGAUUGACUGUCAGUUGAGGUUCAGAUGUCGAGCUGUGCGGACGUGUUCAUCGAGCUGCUGUCUACAAAAAACGGGGCUGUGGUGAGUAUUGUAGUAUAAAUUUGUUUCAAUAAAUCAUGAUGAAUGAAAACUGAUUUCGAUUCGUUUUGUACAGGUUUACUUGUAUAGAAGUGUAAUGCGUUGGGUAGAAAUUACUCAGUACUGAUAUAGUGUCGAUAUGUUGUGAUUAGCGAUGAUGGUGUAUGAUGGUGGAACAGAAUAUGAGCUUCUUUGGGGAAACGAACAUAUGAUUGAAAAAAAUUUGCAAACAUAGUAGAUAAAUGAUAUGAUAUUGCUUAAAUUGUAUUUGCAUGCUGUAACAUUUCUAUUUCAUUUCAGGGUGCUGUGGUGAGUACUGUAGAUUGUAGUGCAUAUGUAUAGAAUUCAAUAAAAGAUUAUGACUGAAAACUGCUUUUGAUUCUUAUUGUACAGUUUUAGGGAUUAUAAGUCUAUAGCAACUCUGUCGGUUGGUGUUCAUGAGUGUGAGCUUAAUACAGCAAUGUUUGAGUAGUACAAAAAUGUUUUCGCUUUUGUGGUCGCCAGCUGUCCGUGAUCUGUAAAGUGAAAAUACACAGAGCUAUGAAGCAUACAAAUGUUUCGAAAUUUUAUCAAUGAUUGUAUACUAUGCAUGUUUUGAUUUAGUUCGUUUCAGAUUUGACAUGAGAUGAAAACCUGACAUGAUUUGAACAGAGCUGGGAAACGAAAAGGUAAGUCUGUUUCAUUCCACUAUGAACACUUGUAUUUUGACAAAAGAAGAGAUAAAGUGAGUUACUUUAUCAUCAUGGUUUCAUUUAGUGAACAGAGGUAAACCUAGCUAGCUUUUCGUGUACUCUAUUUUGGAUGAUGAGUAUGUCAGUAACUUUAAUUGUACGGCUAGUAAAGUAUGAACAUGAAUGCUUUGUUCAGAUUUUCAGAUGUGUGCUGGCAGUUCAAGUCUGGCAGCUGGAGUGAACAGUCGUGUUUUCUGGAGCUCCAACAAUAUGCUAGAAGGUAAGUAACUAUGUUUGUUUUGCAUUGCAUGUUUUUAUAUGUUUCAGACUUUCAAGCAGAGAUGUCAUGCUGACUGGAGUUGAGCACAGGGCAGUGACAAAGUGAAAGGUAAGUACUUUUGACUGAAUGUUUGUUCUAUGCAUGUUUUGUUUUAAUACAUUUCAGGAGUGCUUAUCCAGUGAUGAUAUGACAGUUGGAGUGAACAGUGGAGCCAAGCAGUCUUGUUUUUGGAGCUACUCAACAAGCCUUGAAGGUAAGUUUAGAAUUUCUCAAUGUUAGUGAAUUGAAGUACUGUCACUUGCUUUUGGACAGUCGAACAGAACAGACGUGGUUGCGAGAGCUCUCAUAUCUGUUGUGUUAAACUGUUUUUAUGAUAUGUUAUGUUUGUUUGUUUGUUUGUGAUGUACUAUUUUUCAGAUGCUGAUGGCAGUGAUGGGUUUUCAAGCUGACCUGAACAGAAAAGCACUCAUAUGGUAAGUACAAAAUAGUUGUUAUAUGGGAUGUUUUGUGCAUGCUUUUAUGUUUCAGGUGUACUUGCUGACAGCGACGAAGACGAAUCAAGAAGAGGAACAUUGUUGAGAAAGUGAUUGGGACUUGAAAACAGGGUAAGUGUAACACUUGUGUUUGUUUAAUUUGUAACAUGCGUGCUUUGCUCUGUUUCAGAUUUCACAUGCAGAAAUUAAACAGGAUUUCAACUGCUGAGACACAAAUCAUCAAAAGUAAGGUAAGUUUUAAUCCAUUGAUUUGAGUUGUACAAUGUGUUCUUUACUUUAUUUCAGAUUCGAGUCACUGGUUUACACAUGGAAGAAGAUUUCCACGUCUGUUACUCAACUCUACAGAAGCAAGUUGAUGUCCAGAUGGCAAGCAGUACAGACGUGUUUCUUGGAGCUGCCAAACAGUGAGUACAAACGUUUUAUAUUUUUCAGUUGUUUACUCAUAGAAGUCUGUGAAAGAUGAUAACAAGGGUUGAAUCUAUCAGCACUUGUGUCUAAAAAUGCUGAUGUGUGACGGUUUACUGGAAAGGGUAAAUGCUAGCCAGUACUUACACUUGAGCAACCGUGGGAUGUCGAACUAACUGAUGAUGUACUAUGAUGGUGAACACUUACUAUGUGUAUCAAAAUGCUUUUGUUGAUAUUUACUAUAGAUGAUUUGAUAUUGGUUAACAUUUGUUUGCAUGCUGUUAACAUUUCUAUUUCAUUUCAGGGAGCUGUGGUAAGUAUUGUAGUAUUAAUUUGUCUCAAUAAACGAUGAUGAAUGAAAACUGAUGUCGAUUCUUUUUGUACAGUUUUAGGUAUUAGCACUCUAUACAAAACUCUGUCGGUCGGUGUUUGUGAAUGUGAGCUUAAUGUUUGAGUAGAACAAAAAUGUCUUUACUUUUGUGAUCGCCAGUUGUCUGUGAUGUAAAGUGGAAAAAACACAGCUAUGAAGCAUACAAUUGUUUCAAUAUUUUAUCAAUGAUAGUGUGCUAUGCAUGUUUUGAUUUAGUUCGUUUCAGAUAUGACAUGACAUGAAGAGUUGACAGUCGAACAGAGCUGAGCAAUGCAGAAAGGUAAGUGUGUUUCAUUUUAGUAUGAACACUUGUAUUUUGUUUUUAUAUGGUAUGUUUUGUGCAUGCUAUGUUUCAGGUGUACUUGUAGUCAGCGACGAAGACGAUUCAAGAAGAGGAACAUUGCUGAGAAAGUGAAUGGGACUUGCAAACAGGGUAAGUGUAACAAUUGUGUUUGUUUAAUUUGUAACAUGCGUGCUUUGCUCUGUUUCAGAUUUCACAUGCAGAAAUGGUCUCAUAGCAGUGCCAACAGUGAAUAAGGAUUUCAGCUGCUGUGAAACAACUCAACAGAAAGUAGGUCAGCAUUGAAUGAAUGCACUUGAGUUGUACAAUUUGAUGUGAUGCUUUUCUCUGUUUCAGAUUCAAGUUCCUGGUGUAGACAGAGAAAUGUGUUUGAAGAAGGAAUUCUACUACUGUGAUUCAACUCUACAGAAGCAAGGUAAGUAGAAACACAAUUUUGGUUUAAUUUAACUCAUGUGUUUUGCACUGCAUGCUAUUUUUCAGGUCUCUCAUGCAGUGAUGCAAAAGAAGAAGAUUUCAAGAAAGAAUCACUGCUGCAACUCAGGCCUAUAACAAGGUAAGUGUUUACUAUAUUGUAUACAAAAUGUUUCUCUGUUUUACUCUGUUUGAAGGUUUCAAUUGCAGAGAUGUUGCAGAGAUGUUUUGACAGCUUGUGACAGAAAAGAAAUUCAGCAGCUGUGUCUCGACUCUAGCCACGAGGUAAGUCAAAACAAAUAUACUGGUUUGUAUGUUAUGUUGUUAUGCCCUUCUAUGUUUCAGACUUACAUUGCUGUGACUGUUCCACAGUGGGUCAAAAAAGAGACGAAUACAGGUUUCAAGAAGAAAAUUGGCUGUUAAAAACCUGCACAAAAUAUGAGGUAAGUAAACUACUCUUUUGGUUUGUUUUGUGCUUUGUUAUGCUUAACUAUUUUUCAGAUUGGAAUGGUGGGUCGUUACAGAGCAGACUUUUGGACUACUGAGAAGUUGAGAAACAGAGAAUGAUUCAAGAUCAGCUAGGUAAGUCUUGAUUAUUAUGCAUUGCUAAAUGUUUUUUUCAUUCCAGUAUGGCUGUGGUAAGUACACAAACUUUCUAUAAUUUAAUAUUGAACUGUUUUUAUGACCUGUAUUCUGCAUUGUAAAAUGUCUGUUUUUCAUUUCAGUAUCCUGUGGUAAGUACACUAACUUUGUAUAAUUUCAUAUUGAAAUGUUUUGAUGACUUGUAUCCUGCUAUGCAAUGCUUAAUAUAUUUUUCAUUUCAGUGUGGCUGUGGUAAGUACACUAACUUUCUUUUCUUUUUCAUAUUGAACUGUUUUGGUGACUUGUAUUCUGCUAUACAAAAUGUGUUUUUUUCAUUUCAGUUGCCUGUGGUAAGUACAAUUGCCUUCUUUAAUUUUCAUAUUGAACUGUUUUGAUGACUUGUAUACUGCAUUGUAAAAUGUGUUUCUUUUUCAUUUCAGUAUGGCUGUGGUAAGUACAAUUGCCUUCUUUAAUUUUCAUAUUGAACUGUUUUGAUGACUUUUAUUCUGCCAUACAAAAUGUGUUUUUUUUCAUUUCAGUUGCCUGUUGGUAAGUACAAUUUGCUUUCUUUAAUUGCAUAUUGAAAUAUGUUUUAUGACUUUUAUUCUGCUAUGCUUUUUUCAUUUCAGUUUGGCAGAUGUAAGUACACUUCAUUUAUGUAAAAACUGAAUAUGAUUGUUGUGCUAUACAAAAUGUGCUUUUUUCAAUUUCAGGUCAGCAAUGGUAAGUUUAUUGUGUUUCUUUAUGUAUAAUUUUGUAUACAUAUUGUUUUUUUCAUCAUAGCAUGUUUUUUAUAUUUAUGCUUUGUGUAAGUAAAAUGUUCAUAAAUCAUUCUUAUCUUUAAACUAAAAAUGUAUUUUGAUAUGCAAAAUGUCUGUAUGAUUUCAGUUGCCAGAGGUGAGUACCAUUACAGUUGAAAAGUUAGUUUUGUUUAGUUAAAGUUUUGGUUCACAGUUCUGUUUAUUAUUUGGCAAAAUUUACAUGUAUGCAUUGAGUCUUGAUUUCAGCUCGAUUGUGGACUGAAGAAGAUUGCCAGCAGAGGGAUUGGAUACAAAAUACAAACUUUACUGCUAGACGAGUGUUCUCUACUACUUGACGAGUCAGCUUUACUACCAGGCGAGCAGUGACAACAAGGCGCCUUUGUGGAAACAACACAACAAAAAACUGUACUGCUAGACGAGCAGUGACAGAAAGGCGCCUGAACAUGCAACACAAAACAAAAAAUGCCAAUUUGCAAACCUUGAUGUGGAAACCGAGUAGUCAAUACAUACGUGUGGCGUAUAGCUGCGACAAAACCGUGGGUCCAUCGCACCGAUAACUUGAACAUUGGCCCGUGUAUGGACAUCAGUGCAACUUUGUGAAUCCAUGUAACUUUGUGAAUCCAUGUAACAUUGCGAAUGUGUGUCGAUCGAAAAAUGUGAACAUUAUGCAAUGAAACGAACUCGGUGUUGCAAGUGGCAAGUGUUGACAGUGUGCAUGUUUAUGUUUAUGUUUUUACAUGAAAAAUAAAGGAGAUUGUUCUCCUACCUUUUUUUUCCUUGUUUUAUUGUGCUGGCCAGCAAUAUUGAUGUAUUGAUGUAUUGAUGUAUGUGUUUGUGUAUUAACGAUGUAUUAACUAUGCAUUACCAAAAUCAAACAAAACUUUGGCACAAGAGACUCUAAGUAUCAAAUACCAACAAUUUAAGCGCAGACAAUCACAUGGUGGUACACCAGUCCGAAUAUACUCAUUGCUCUAGCCAGGAUUGCAAAUUACUUGUGUUGACUAGCAAGGCUCCCUAGUAACGGAGCAGUGUUACUGGCGUUUUUUGGGUCGAUAGUGCUUAGGUGAGGUUUUGCUCGAAUCGGGAGCGGGUCACUCGCUUGGGCGAGUUAGUUUUCGCUCGUAGUUUCCAAUCUGGCUAGAUCAAUGUAAGGUUGUUUUGACUGCUAUUUGGCAAGCAGAAAGACAACAGCGGUUAAUUGACUGAGUAUGGGCGACCGAGGUAUGUAGGUGUCAAUAGACCGACUCCACAAGUUGCGAAGCGAACCGAUAGCACUUGAGGGGAAACGCCUCGGUUUUCGGUUCUAACAUGUGUUAUCCAUGCUGUCGUUAUACUCUGGCAAGGCUCCUCAAUCUAUCGCGAGGGACACUCAUUAUUGCCCGCAAGCUUUAGAACCUGACGUGGGUCGAUGCGUAUGCGAGUCCGAGGACGCGAUGGCAUUUGAUAAGGCUACCAACCGGUUGAUAACACGCAUUGUUCAAAUUGUUAGGUUUAAGUCUGCUAGGGCUGGGGUGGGAA
Dreissena polymorpha is the source of this 6409-nucleotide long non-coding RNA. RefSeq lists it as uncharacterized. The transcript is spliced from 6 exons. The record is from RefSeq and is a predicted model, not a curated record. NCBI's taxonomy places the organism in Eukaryota, Metazoa, Mollusca, Bivalvia, Myida, Dreissenidae.